RNAcentral lists this small nucleolar RNA (79 nucleotides) under Pteropus alecto (black flying fox). RNAcentral describes it as "Small nucleolar RNA SNORD113/SNORD114 family". It matches the Rfam family "Small nucleolar RNA SNORD113/SNORD114 family". From Rfam's summary of the family: The imprinted human domain at 14q32 contains two clusters of tandemly repeated small nucleolar RNAs named 14q(I) and 14q(II) snoRNAs. These two clusters are named SNORD113 and SNORD114 respectively in the HGNC approved gene symbol nomenclature. The record is from Rfam by way of RNAcentral. Lineage: Eukaryota; Metazoa; Chordata; Mammalia; Chiroptera; Pteropodidae.
UGCGCCAGUGAUGAUGCCUGGUGACGUAGGAGUGAGUUGCAGAUGAUGAAUGUUAUGAGUCGGGAACUCUUAGGUCCAA